Molecule: non-coding RNA, 45 nt
Filed under: Schistosoma mansoni
Lineage: Eukaryota; Metazoa; Platyhelminthes; Trematoda; Strigeidida; Schistosomatidae
Source: RNAcentral
AUCCAUAUGACGAGUCCCAAGUAGGACAAAACGCACGUCCUGGAU